RNAcentral lists this long non-coding RNA (1511 nucleotides) under Pongo abelii (Sumatran orangutan). Its description in RNAcentral is "lncRNA (ENSPPYG00000033805.1)". Lineage: Eukaryota; Metazoa; Chordata; Mammalia; Primates; Hominidae. The record is from RNAcentral.
ACUAUCUCUUGUUGUGGGAAAAUUUGAUGAAGUAUUUGAACUGUCACGUAUAUUAAGAAUACUUUGUGAUUUAGACCAAUAUUCUAGAAAUAUCAAAUGUCAGUGUCUUGAAAUCAUCUGCCUCUAACUUUGUGGUAUAAGAAUUAUAUAUGAAUAAGCUAUUAUUUUUAUAAAGGAAAACUUUGCCAUUAUAGUAAAUUACAUUAGUUGAUCUCGAUAAUUUGAGGAUAACAGAUGAUAACUGAAUUUUGAAUUGAUUUAGUAUUUCCUCCUCCUCUUUGGGGGCUGGAUGGGAGGGCUUACAUGCUCUUAGAGUGAGGCACAUCUCACUGUUUUGCAGCUGAAUUUGAAUUGUGCAACUCCUGUGUAAAGUAAGGAUUUCUUUAAAUAGCAUUUUUGCACCACUAAAAAUAGAUAACUUAGAACUCAGUCUUGAUAACUAAAAUGACUUAUUUCGCUUAGAAUACAUUUCUCCCUUCUCUGCCAUCUCCACAAAUGCCAUUGGGAGGUUUUGAAAAACCAGUUAAUUUAAUAGCUCAAAAUUGUCCCUGAUUUUAUUUUCUUUUAGGGAAAAUUGUUUCAUAAAUGUGACACAGAUAAAGCCUUUGUCAGAAAGUAUUCUCAAAAUUAUGAGAUGGAUUAUAAUAAAAUACUUAAAUUUGUGUUAUUUUUUGAACCACAGAUGAGUAAAUCUAAUAAUGAACCAAUUACACUCGUGAGUCUAACUAAACUGUACACUGUAGCAUGGUGUUAUUGACUGGAGUUAAUGUGUAAGUUAUUAACAUUUCUAUGGAAAUGCCCUUUUGGGGCCUCCUGAAUUUUAGAUGUUCCACUGUUUUGAUCAUUUCUAUAAAAGAAAUGGUCAUUUUACUCAGAUGCCAGUCUACUUUAUAAAAACAAAUGGAUUAUAGACUUAAAAAUAGUCAUUUUUCUUAUUCAUAAAUCUGACAGGCAUAAACCCAAAUCAAAGAUAAUUUGGUGCCCAUUAUGAAUUUGAAGUUAAGUGAUAGCUCACUUGUAAAGUGACUACCUUAAUGUGUAUAGAGACCCCAGUCUACUAUGAUUUGGGAAAAUUGUUUAGCUUAUAUGGGAAAAGUAGCUCUUUAAAAAUCAUAUUGCCCAACAGAAACCUUAGGCUGAAUUUACAGGUAUGAUAAUUUUUGUAAUUAAUUUUCUUAGAAUUGUGCAGGUUGGAUGAGAUAAUGACAUACUCUUUUACACUGUAACAGCAGCAUUAUUGCCUAGAACUUUAACCAUUUUAGAGUUAGAUACUAAGGAAACAAACUAAUUGGUCAUCAUCAUUUUCUUUUUUUCUUUUUCUUUUCUUUUUUUUUUUUUUUUUUUGCCCUUAUGUGUCACUAAACAACUAGUUUCUCUCCCUUUUGUCAGUUCCCAUUGUGUAUUUUUUCAAAAGAAGUACUGUAUUCGGAUGCCAGCUAAUAAAUUGUCACACAAUGGAAAAUCAUAUGCCACAACAUUCAUUGUAAGGUUUAAUAAAAUUAAAUUUGCAC